This 70-nucleotide transfer RNA is filed under the name Protopterus aethiopicus (marbled lungfish). Its description in RNAcentral is "tRNA-Ala". It matches the Rfam family "tRNA". Rfam says of the family: Transfer RNA (tRNA) molecules are approximately 80 nucleotides in length. Their secondary structure includes four short double-helical elements and three loops (D, anti-codon, and T loops). The record is from RNAcentral. Lineage: Eukaryota; Metazoa; Chordata; Ceratodontiformes; Protopteridae.
AAAGCCUUAGCUUAAUUAAAGUGUUUGAGUUGCAUUCAUAAGAUGUGGGGUAGAGUCCCGCAGGUUUUAC